AGCUGACCUACUGCACAGGUUCAGGCCCUGUGCACCCGAGGAAAGAUAGUGACAAAGGCCAUACCCUUGGAGAGAGGACUGAUGUCAGGCAGGUUCCUCGCCUGGGUUCUGCCCAGUGAUCUUGUGGACUUCAGGACAUGAGCCCAGUUUAUUUAAACCGUCUUGGAGCCUGUGUCCCUUUAUCCAAGAGGUCAUCAAACUUUAUCAUGUAAACUCCAUUGCAGGAUUAAUUUACAAACAAAGAACAAGCUGUACGAACUAUGGGUACUUCAGCCAGCAUCUCAAGGAUUGAGUCCCACUCACAGGCGCCCCCUUAGCCUUUGACAAGCUGUGAUAGCUUCAGGCAGAGAACUG
This 354-nucleotide long non-coding RNA is filed under the name Fukomys damarensis (Damara mole-rat). RNAcentral's name for it is "lncRNA (ENSFDAG00000023821.1)". The record is from RNAcentral. Lineage: Eukaryota; Metazoa; Chordata; Mammalia; Rodentia; Bathyergidae.